This 269-nucleotide ribosomal RNA is filed under the name uncultured prokaryote. Its description in RNAcentral is "partial 16S ribosomal RNA". It matches the Rfam family "Bacterial small subunit ribosomal RNA", at positions 524 to 792 of the family's 1533-position model. The record is from RNAcentral.
UACGGAGGGUGCAAGCGUUAUCCGGAAUCACUGGGCGUAAAGGGCGCGUAGGUGGUCUGUUAAGUCUGGCGUUAAAGCCUGGGGCUCAACCCCAGAUCAGCGUUGGAUACUGGCAGGCUAGACGGUUGGAGAGGCGAGUGGAAUUACCAGUGUAGCGGUGGAAUGCGUAGAUACUGGUAGGAACACCCAUUGCGAAGGCAGCUCGCUGGACAACACGUGACGCUGAGGCGCGAAAGUGUGGGGAGCAAACCGGAUUAGAUACCCGCGUA